CCUACGGGAGGCAGCAGUAGGGAAUCUUCCACAAUGGGCGAAAGCCUGAUGGGGCAACGCCGCGUGGGUGAAGAAGGUCUUCGGAUCGUAAAACCCUGUUGUUAGAGAAGAAAGUGCGUGAGAGUAACUGUUCACGUUUCGACGGUAUCUAACCAGAAAGCCACGGCUAACUACGUGCCAGCAGCCGCGGUAAUACGUAGGUGGCAAGCGUUAUCCGGAUUUAUUGGGCGUAAAGGGAACGCAGGCGGUCAUUUAAGUCUGAUGUGAAAGCCCUCGGCUUAACCGGAG
Molecule: ribosomal RNA, 288 nt
Filed under: uncultured bacterium
Lineage: Bacteria
Description: partial 16S ribosomal RNA
Rfam family: Bacterial small subunit ribosomal RNA
Source: RNAcentral